RNAcentral lists this ribosomal RNA (484 nucleotides) under uncultured bacterium. Its description in RNAcentral is "partial 16S ribosomal RNA". It matches the Rfam family "Bacterial small subunit ribosomal RNA", at positions 30 to 507 of the family's 1533-position model. The record is from RNAcentral.
AUUGAACGCUGGCGGCAGGCCUAACACAUGCAAGUCGAGCGGAUGAAGGGGGCUUGCUCCUGGAUUCAGCGGCGGACGGGUGAGUAAUGCCUAGGAAUCUGCCCGGUAGUGGGGGAUAACGUCCGGAAACGGGCGCUAAUACCGCAUACGUCCUGAGGGAGAAAGUGGGGGAUCUUCGGACCUCACGCUAUCAGAUGAGCCUAGGUCGGAUUAGCUAGUUGGUGGGGUAAAGGCCUACCAAGGCGACGAUCCGUAACUGGUCUGAGAGGAUGAUCAGUCACACUGGAACUGAGACACGGUCCAGACUCCUACGGGAGGCAGCAGUGGGGAAUAUUGGACAAUGGGCGAAAGCCUGAUCCAGCCAUGCCGCGUGUGUGAAGAAGGUCUUCGGAUUGUAAAGCACUUUAAGUUGGGAGGAAGGGCAGUAAGUUAAUACCUUGCUGUUUUGACGUUACCAACAGAAUAAGCACCGGCUAACUUCGUG